CCCUUAGAUGUUCUGGGCCGCACGCGCGCUACACUGAUUCAUGCAACAAGUUUUGUCCUUGGCUGAUAGGCCUGGGUAAUCUUUGAACGUGAAUCGUGAUGGGGAUAGAUGAUUGCAAUUAUUCAUCUUCAACGAGGAAUUCCUAGUAAACGCAAGUCAUCAGCUUGCAUUGAUUACGUCCCUGCCCUUUGUACACACCGCCCGUCGCACCUACCGAUUGAAUGGUCCGGUGAAAUCUUCGGAUCUGAGAGAUGUCUGAUUAAUUUCGGACGCCUUUUGGAAAAGUUGUUUAAACCUUACCAUUUAGAGGAAGGUGAAGUCGUAGCA
RNAcentral lists this ribosomal RNA (327 nucleotides) under uncultured eukaryote. Its description in RNAcentral is "partial 18S ribosomal RNA". It matches the Rfam family "Eukaryotic small subunit ribosomal RNA", at positions 1470 to 1796 of the family's 1831-position model. The record is from RNAcentral.